Molecule: long non-coding RNA, 204 nt
Filed under: Mytilus galloprovincialis (Mediterranean mussel)
Lineage: Eukaryota; Metazoa; Mollusca; Bivalvia; Mytilida; Mytilidae
Source: RNAcentral
AAAAUUUGGUGACUAUGUGGAACGCAUCUAUCCAAUCGAGCUAGAGAUAAAGGAUACUACAGAUACAGUUAAGUCGGCCUCAUAUCAUGACUUACAUCUAGAAAUUGACAAUGAGGGUCGGUUGAAAACAAAACUUUACGACAAAAGAGAUGAUUUCAGCUUUCCAAUUGUGAACUUUCCAUUUCUAAGUAGCAACAUUCCAGC